GUGAGCGGCGGACGGGUGAGUAACGCGUGGGUAACCUGCCCUAUACACACGGAUAACGUACCGAAAGGUACGCUAAUACGAGAUAACAUAUUUUUAUCGCAUGGUAGAAAUAUCAAAGCUUUUGCGGUACAGGAUGGACCCGCGUCUGAUUAGCUAGUUGGUGAGGUAACGGCUCACCAAGGCGACGAUCAGUAGCCGACCUGAGAGGGUGAUCGGCCACAUUGGAACUGAGACACGAUCCAAAUUUCUACGGGAGGCAGCAGUGGGGAAUAUUGCACAAUGGGCGAAAGCCUGAUGCAGCAACGCCGCGUGAGCGAUGAAGGCCUUCGGGUCGUAAAGCUCUGUCCUCAAGGAAGAUAAUGACGGUACUUGAGGAGGAAGCCCCGGCUAACUACGUGCCAGCAGCCGCGGUAAUACGUAGGGGGCUAGCGUUAUGCGGGAAUUACUGGGCGUAAAGGGUGCGUAGGUGGUUUCUUAAGUCAGAGGUGAAAGGCUACGGCUCAACCGUAGUAAGCCUUUGAAACUGGGAAACUUGAGUGCAGGAGAGGAGAGUGGAAUUCCUAGUGUAGCGGUGAAAUGCGUAGAUAUUAGGAGGAACACCAGUUGCGAAGGCGGCUCUCUGGGACUGUAACUGACACUGAGGCACGAAAGCGUGGGGAGCAAACAGGAUUAGAUACCCUGGUAGUCCACGCCGUAACGAUGAGUACUAGCUGUCGGAGGUUACCCCCUU
This 730-nucleotide ribosomal RNA is filed under the name uncultured bacterium. RNAcentral's name for it is "bacterial SSU rRNA". It matches the Rfam family "Bacterial small subunit ribosomal RNA", at positions 91 to 840 of the family's 1533-position model. The record is from RNAcentral.